UACGUAGGGGGCAAGCGUUGUCCGGAUUCAUUGGGCGUAAAGAGCGUGUAGGCGGCCAGGUAGGUCGGUUGUGAAAACUGGAGGCUCAACCUUCAGAGGUCGACCGAAACCAUCUGGCUAGAGUCCGGGAGAGGAGAGUGGAAUUCCUGGUGUAGCGGUGAAAUGCGCAGAUAUCAGGAGGAACACCGAUGGCGAAGGCAGGUCUCUGGGCCACUGCUGACGCUGAGAAGCGAAAGCAUGGGGAGCGAACAGG
RNAcentral lists this ribosomal RNA (253 nucleotides) under uncultured bacterium. Its description in RNAcentral is "partial 16S ribosomal RNA". It matches the Rfam family "Bacterial small subunit ribosomal RNA", at positions 524 to 776 of the family's 1533-position model. The record is from RNAcentral.